RNAcentral lists this long non-coding RNA (1031 nucleotides) under Astyanax mexicanus (Mexican tetra). RNAcentral's name for it is "lncRNA (ENSAMXG00005024714.1)". The record is from RNAcentral. Lineage: Eukaryota; Metazoa; Chordata; Actinopteri; Characiformes; Acestrorhamphidae.
GCACUUCUACAUAAUGAAUUUCCAAUUAGAUCAAUUAUCACCAAAUGUGAGUCAACUCUGAUAUAUAUGUAUAUUUUACCUAUGUAAAUUAAUUUACACAUUUAACGUAAGUGUAGGUGCCAGCAUCUUGAUCAUAAUCUGAAGGUCAAAUACAGCUGUUUAUUACAUUUAAUAUGAAUAUGUACGUAAAUGUUACUACCCAAGUGAUGUGUUGUUGGGUAAGUAUAGUGAAAAUUUCUGUCUGGUUAAAUAUAUUUUAUUUUAUUCAUCAUUAAAGUCACCUCACCCAACUAGCUGGCAGCAGUAGUUAGCUAUAUUCACACAUUCCUAAUAUAGAGGAUAAUGGACAAAGAGGAGCUACAGAAAUGCCACGAAUUUAAGCACAGCAUUUCCCUUGUGUUUAAGGUGGAACUUCAAUAAACAGGAGCGUCAUUUCAGCGGAAGAGAUAAGAAAUGAGCUAACUGCCCAUUAGCGAGUCGCGCGCCCAGAGGAGCUGCAGUCGGAACAGACAGGCUGUCCAGAAGAAAGAGUAAACAAACCUGCGACAGCCUGCGCCUUCACCAAGAGGACAGAAGACAAGAGGUGCCCUUCAUCCUGCUCCUCCACCCUGCAGCGCUCCCUAUAACCACAGUGAUAUCCUCAGAUGAGGUUUCCCUGAGAAACAGACGAUCUCGUGGACAGGUGGUCUCUCUCCUGCAAGAGGAUGCAGAUUGCAGAUGCAGGCUAGAAGCUGUCAAAGCCGGAGGUAUCUUGAUGAAUCUGCUCCACAUGCAGUGCCUAUGGCCACGCAGGAGAAAUGGCCCCCCGUCCACUUCCAUCAUGUCUUUUUCCUGUGGGACAAAGCCUGUUGUACCUUCCAGGGUGAUUCGGGGUGGAUCCGGUUUCAGCCCAUGUUCUCUCCCACCCAUUUGUAAAGCCAAAGAUCAUUAGCCUCUUAGAUUACUUUCCCCUAAGCUACUUUAUGCCUAAGAGCCCACUCCUCUCCUCUCCUCUCUCCUCUGCCCUAAACAAAUUAAUAAAUACUGCGAAC